This 497-nucleotide ribosomal RNA is filed under the name uncultured bacterium. Its description in RNAcentral is "partial 16S ribosomal RNA". It matches the Rfam family "Bacterial small subunit ribosomal RNA", at positions 28 to 507 of the family's 1533-position model. The record is from RNAcentral.
GAUGAACGCUGGCGGCGUGCCUAAUACAUGCAAGUCGAGCGAACGGACGAGAAGCUUGCUUCUCUGAUGUUAGCGGCGGACGGGUGAGUAACACGUGGAUAACCUACCUAUAAGACUGGGAUAACUUCGGGAAACCGGAGCUAAUACCGGAUAAUAUUUUGAACCGCAUGGUUCAAAAGUGAAAGACGGUCUUGCUGUCACUUAUAGAUGGAUCCGCGCUGCAUUAGCUAGUUGGUAAGGUAACGGCUUACCAAGGCAACGAUGCAUAGCCGACCUGAGAGCGUGGUCGGCCACACUGGAACGUAGACACGGUCCAGACUCCUACUGGAGGAAGCAGUACGGAAGCUUCCUCAAUAGGGGAAAGCCUGGCGUAGCCACGCCGCGUGUGUGAAGAAGGUCUUCGGAUCUUAAAACUCUGUUAUUAGGGAAGAACAGAUGUGUACGUCACUGUGCACACCUUGACGGUACCUUAUCAAAAAGCCACGGCUAACUACGUG